ACGCUCGACACCUACGCGAGGCAGCAGUAGGGAAUCUUCCACAAUGGACGCAAGUCUGAUGGAGCAACGCCGCGUGAGUGAAGAAGGUUUUCGGAUCGUAAAGCUCUGUUGUUGGUGAAGAAGGAUAGAGGUAGUAACUGGCCUUUAUUUGACGGUAAUCAACCAGAAAGUCACGGCUAACUACGUGCCAACAGCCGCGGUAAUCUGAGCGGGCUGGCAAGGC
This 223-nucleotide ribosomal RNA is filed under the name uncultured bacterium. RNAcentral's name for it is "partial 16S ribosomal RNA". It matches the Rfam family "Bacterial small subunit ribosomal RNA", at positions 328 to 539 of the family's 1533-position model. The record is from RNAcentral.